GAGGCCUGGCUGUGAAUGGUUCCCCAUCAGCUCUGCAGAGAGGGGACAGGCCGAGCACACCGGGACUCUGCAGAGGAGGGCUGUGCACCGGACGCAAUGAUGUGCCGACCGCCUGCCUUGUGUGCAGAAUCUGCUCCAGGGCAGGUGAAGAGCAGCGUUACGCGGCUGGCUUGCUGCAGGUGACAGAUGGUCACUCCGGUGUUCCCAUGGGUUCUUGGAGUAUGCCUGCUGGUCUGCUGUGCCGUUUCUGGCAGAACUGCAGCUUUACUGGAAAAUCACCAGCCCGGGAAACAUGCUGGCACCUAAGAUAGACAAGGCAUGCCUCUUCCCGGCAGGAAGCUCCUGGCCUAGCAAGCAGAUGGGGCAGGUGCUCACCCAGAGGCACAUCGCAGUUCCCGGCCGAGCCUGCAGGGCGGGGACAUGGGGACAGGUCCAGCCUGGAAACAGAGUGUCCCCCGGUUCCGGACCGAAGGACUGAUGGGCAGAGAGACCACCUUUAAAUCACGUGUCUACAGCCCCUUAUCUAACAGUUACAGCCAGACCUCAUCCCUGUGUUAAUGUUUUCCUGCUCAGUAAGUUUCUCCUUCUGUCAGUUUGCUCAUUUCUUUGGUUUAACGCCUAUCUGUCCUUUGAAUAAAGGCUCCAUAAGGUAGAA
Artibeus jamaicensis (Jamaican fruit-eating bat) is the source of this 655-nucleotide long non-coding RNA. RefSeq lists it as uncharacterized. The transcript is spliced from 4 exons. The record is from RefSeq and is a predicted model, not a curated record. NCBI's taxonomy places the organism in Eukaryota, Metazoa, Chordata, Mammalia, Chiroptera, Phyllostomidae.